GAUGAUUGUCCAACUGGUUUGGUGUCGAGUUGAAAAAUGCAUCACCGGGUAGACAUUCAUUCUC
RNAcentral lists this microRNA precursor (64 nucleotides) under Schmidtea mediterranea. RNAcentral describes it as "Sme-Mir-36-P20a_pre stem-loop". The record is from RNAcentral. Lineage: Eukaryota; Metazoa; Platyhelminthes; Tricladida; Dugesiidae.